GGCAAAGUGGCAGAGUUGGUUAUCGCGUAUGACUAGAAUACCACUAUAUCAUAUUCCUUCGGGAGCGCAUGUUCGAAUCAUGUCUUUGUCG
This 91-nucleotide transfer RNA is filed under the name Talaromyces rugulosus. RNAcentral describes it as "Penicillium rugulosum tRNA". It matches the Rfam family "tRNA". From Rfam's summary of the family: Transfer RNA (tRNA) molecules are approximately 80 nucleotides in length. Their secondary structure includes four short double-helical elements and three loops (D, anti-codon, and T loops). Further hydrogen bonds mediate the characteristic L-shaped molecular structure. tRNAs have two regions of fundamental functional importance: the anti-codon, which is responsible for specific mRNA codon recognition, and the 3' end, to which the tRNAs corresponding amino acid is attached (by aminoacyl-tRNA synthetases). tRNAs cope with the degeneracy of the genetic code in two manners: having more than one tRNA (with a specific anti-codon) for a particular amino acid; and 'wobble' base-pairing, i.e. permitting non-standard base-pairing at the 3rd anti-codon position. The record is from Rfam by way of RNAcentral. Lineage: Eukaryota; Fungi; Ascomycota; Eurotiomycetes; Eurotiales; Trichocomaceae.